UUCAUGGAGAGUUUGAUCCUGGCUCAGGACGAACGCUGGCGGCGUGCCUAAUACAUGCAAGUCGAGCGGACCGACGGGAGCU
This 82-nucleotide ribosomal RNA is filed under the name Bacillus licheniformis. Its description in RNAcentral is "partial 16S ribosomal RNA". It matches the Rfam family "Bacterial small subunit ribosomal RNA", at positions 1 to 82 of the family's 1533-position model. Lineage: Bacteria; Bacillati; Bacillota; Bacilli; Caryophanales; Bacillaceae. RNAcentral also lists the same sequence under 1 other name. The record is from RNAcentral.